GGAUGAACGCUAGCUACAGGCUUAACACAUGCAAGUCGAGGGGCAUCAGGAAGGAAGCUUGCUUUCUUUGCUGGCGACCGGCGCACGGGUGAGUAACACGUAUCCAACCUGCCCUUUACUCGGGGAUAGCCUUUCGAAAGAAAGAUUAAUACCCGAUAGCAUAAUGAUUCCGCAUGGUUUCAUUAUUAAAGGAUUCCGGUAAAGGAUGGGGAUGCGUUCCAUUAGGUUGUUGGUGAGGUAACGGCUCACCAAGCCUUCGAUGGAUAGGGGUUCUGAGAGGAAGGUCCCCCACAUUGGAACUGAGACACGGUCCAAACUCCUACGGGAGGCAGCAGUGAGGAAUAUUGGUCAAUGGGCGGUAGCCUGAACCAGCCAAGUAGCGUGAAGGAUGAAGGCUCUAUGGGUCGUAAACUUCUUUUAUAUAAGAAUAAAGUGCAGUAUGUAUACUGUUUUGUAUGUAUUAUAUGAAUAAGGAUCGGCUAACUCCGUGCCAGCAGCCGCGGUAAUACGGAGGAUCCGAGCGUUAUCCGGAUUUAUUGGGUUUAAAGGGAGCGUAGGUGGACUGGUAAGUCAGUUGUGAAAGUUUGCGGCUCAACCGUAAAAUUGCAGUUGAUACUGUCAGUCUUGAGUACAGUAGAGGUGGGCGGAAUUCGUGGUGUAGCGGUGAAAUGCUUAGAUAUCACGAAGAACUCCGAUUGCGAAGGCAGCUCACUGGACUGCAACUGACACUGAUGCUCGAAAGUGUGGGUAUCAAACAGGAUUAGAUACCCUGGUAGUCCACACAGUAAACGAUGAAUACUCGCUGUUUGCGAUAUACAGUAAGCGGCCAAGCGAAAGCAUUAAGUAUUCCACCUGGGGAGUACGCCGGCAACGGUGAAACUCAAAGGAAUUGACGGGGGCCCGCGCAAGCGGAGGAACAUGUGGUUUAAUUCGAUGAUACGCGAGGAACCUUACCCGGGCUUAAAUUGCAGUGGAAUGAUGUGGAAACAUGUCAGUGAGCAAUCACCGCUGUGAAGGUGCUGCAUGGUUGUCGUCAGCUCGUGCCGUGAGGUGUCGGCUUAAGUGCCAUAACGAGCGCAACCCUUAUCUUUAGUUACUAACAGGUCAUGCUGAGGACUCUAGAGAGACUGCCGUCGUAAGAUGUGAGGAAGGUGGGGAUGACGUCAAAUCAGCACGGCCCUUACGUCCGGGGCUACACACGUGUUACAAUGGGGGGUACAGAAGGCAGCUAGCGGGUGACCGUAUGCUAAUCCCAAAAGCCUCUCUCAGUUCGGAUCGAAGUCUGCAACCCGACUUCGUGAAGCUGGAUUCGCUAGUAAUCGCGCAUCAGCCACGGCGCGGUGAAUACGUUCCCGGGCCUUGUACACACCGCCCGUCAAGCCAUGGGAGCCGGGGGUACCUGAAGUGCGUAACCGCAAGGAUCGUCCUAGGGUAAAACUGGUGACUGGG
This 1449-nucleotide ribosomal RNA is filed under the name uncultured organism. RNAcentral's name for it is "SSU rRNA". It matches the Rfam family "Bacterial small subunit ribosomal RNA". The record is from RNAcentral.